UGCAGUCGAGCGAACAGAAGGGAGCUUGCUCCCGGAUGUUAGCGGCGGACGGGUGAGUAACACGUGGGUAACCUGCCUGUAAGACUGGGAUAACUCCGGGAAACCGGAGCUAAUACCGGAUAGUUCCUUGAACCGCAUGGUUCAAGGAUGAAAGACGGUUUCGGCUGUCACUUACAGAUGGACCCGCGGCGCAUUAGCUAGUUGGUGGGGUAAUGGCUCACCAAGGCGACGAUGCGUAGCCGACCUGAGAGGGUGAUCGGCCACACUGGGACUGAGACACGGCCCAGACUCCUACGGGAGGCAGCAGUAGGGAAUCUUCCGCAAUGGACGAAAGUCUGACGGAGCAACGCCGCGUGAGUGAUGAAGGUUUUCGGAUCGUAAAGCUCUGUUGUUAGGGAAGAACAAGUGCGAGAGUAACUGCUCGCACCUUGACGGUACCUAACCAGAAAGCCACGGCUAACUACGUGCCAGCAGCCGCGGUAAUACGUAGGUGGCAAGCGUUGUCCGGAAUUAUUGGGCGUAAAGGGCUCGCAGGCGGUUUCUUAAGUCUGAUGUGAAAGCCCCCGGCUCAACCGGGGAGGGUCAUUGGAAACUGGGAAACUUGAGUGCAGAAGAGGAGAGUGGAAUUCCACGUGUAGCGGUGAAAUGCGUAGAGAUGUGGAGGAACACCAGUGGCGAAGGCGACUCUCUGGUCUGUAACUGACGCUGAGGAGCGAAAGCGUGGGGAGCGAACAGGAUUAGAUACCCUGGUAGUCCACGCCGUAAACGAUGAGUGCUAAGUGUUAGGGGGUUUCCGCCCCUUAGUGCUGCAGCUAACGCAUUAAGCACUCCGCCUGGGGAGUACGGUCGCAAGACUGAAACUCAAAGGAAUUGACGGGGGCCCGCACAAGCGGUGGAGCAUGUGGUUUAAUUCGAAGCAACGCGAAGAACCUUACCAGGUCUUGACAUCCUUUGACAACCCUAGAAGAUAGGGCUUUCCCUUCGGGGACAGAGUGACAGGUGGGUGCAUGGUUGUCGUCAGCUCGUGUCGUGAGAUGUUGGGUUAAGUCCCGCAACGAGCGCAACCCUUUGAUCUUAGUUGCCAGCAUUUAGUUGGGC
This 1098-nucleotide ribosomal RNA is filed under the name Bacillus sp. 822B5_12AR2A. Its description in RNAcentral is "bacterial SSU rRNA". It matches the Rfam family "Bacterial small subunit ribosomal RNA", at positions 56 to 1136 of the family's 1533-position model. The record is from RNAcentral. Lineage: Bacteria; Bacillati; Bacillota; Bacilli; Caryophanales; Bacillaceae.